Trichosurus vulpecula (common brushtail) is the source of this 393-nucleotide non-coding RNA. The record is from the annotation of a RefSeq genome assembly. Lineage: Eukaryota; Metazoa; Chordata; Mammalia; Diprotodontia; Phalangeridae.
GGACACAGAGCUCUGGGAGGAACCUUGACCAUGGCCUGGAUCUCUCUGCUGUUCUCACUCCUCACUGUCUACACAGGUUCUGGGGCCUCUUAUGUGCUGACUCAGUCACGUUCAGUGUCCAAAAGCCUGGGAGAGAUGGCUUCCAUCUCCUGUGUUGGGGAGAGGUUUAAUAGUAAAUAUGUAUACUGGUUCCAGCAGAGAUCUGGCCAGGCCCCUGUCCUGGUGAUUUACGAGGAGAGCAAGAGGGCCUCGGGGAUCCCUGACAGAUUCUCUGGCUCCAAGUCAGGGAACAGAGCCACCCUGAGCAUCUCUGGGCUCCAUGCUGAGGAUGAGGCUGAUUAUUACUGUCUGCUGUGGGAUAAUGAUGCUGAUGCUCACAGUGACACAGACUGA